Physcomitrium patens is the source of this 1387-nucleotide non-coding RNA. Lineage: Eukaryota; Viridiplantae; Streptophyta; Bryopsida; Funariales; Funariaceae. The record is from RefSeq and is a predicted model, not a curated record.
CUCCCUUUCAGUAUCGGAUCACAACCACCUCCUCCUCCUCCACCUUUUCUGUGUAUCUAUAAGAUUGUUUGCGUCACAGUUGCUUCUGUUGGGGCACUGGCGUCUAUUAUUGCUCCACAACGUUCUUUUGAAGUCCAAUUCUAAGCGGGAAAUGGCUUCAUUAUGGCAGGCAGUUUAUUUCUUUUGCCCUAGGACGUCUGCAAUCCAACAGUUUGGGGAUGAGAUUUCAAUGGAAAUGCUACAGUACAUGAACGCAGACUGAUUUCAAGACGAGUUUGAUGAGCCUUUUCUCAUCCGAUUCAACUAGCAUUCUGAGAAAUUGUCUGAUGUGCAGGUUGCAGAUCUUUGUAAAUUGGAGUUCUUCCUGUGAUGCUGCCCUUAAUGCCCUGACACAAUUCCAAGGUUACCUUGCUAGCUUGCUUGAGAAUGUUAAGUGAGAAAUUCGUUGGAGCAUAGAAUUAUUCGUUAUGGACAUUCCACGUUGAACAAAUCCUUCGCGAGAAGGAUUUGAGGUAUGUUUGUAACCUCACAGCAGCAUCACCUUCAUCACAUGGAGGCAGCAGCGAUUCAUCAGGGACUGGGGGAGCUUCAGGCGAAACUGAAGGGACUGCAAGCAGCGGAAUGAUUUGGAAACGGAGACCAACUCAAGCUCUACCUUUGCUGGCGCAACGCCUUCGACCCCUACGCCCACUUUUGCCGCUGCUGUUGCAACGACGGUCGUGCCACCUACUCUCAUCACAUCGAAGAUUCAAAAACACAAGGAAAGGGUAAUUGUAAUCAUUACCAAAACUGUAACUGCUUCUAUUUUCCCCGUAGUUAGCAGAUUGCAUAGCGAUCCAUUUAUGCUUUGGGCAACAUUGAAGAAGAAAUAUGAAUCGUCUGCUCUGCAACGAAAGUUAGAUCUCAAAACGGCUCUGGUAGAGCUUAGAUUCACAGAAGGAGAUUCAAUGGAAGAUUACCUUAAGAAGAUUGAAUAUCAUGUGAUGGAGCUAGGUCUUAUAGGCGAGGAGUUUCCAAAAAAGGAGCUCAUCUAGAUUGUUCUGAGAAAUUCGCCAGAGAGCUAGUCGUUUUUUAAGUUAACAUACGAUGUGAUGUAUGCAAAAGACACCCAAGUCACAUUCGCCGAUUUGGAGGAAUACCUGCAAGUAGAAGAUUUUCGAUGGAAGCCACGAUUUGACGAAACGGAGCACUUUCUCAUGGCAAACAAUGAGUAACAUGGCCCUGUGGUAGAGGCUUCUAUUGACGAGAUCCAAGGCGAGGCAAUAAUGAAGUCUACCGACGCGACCAAUGUCUUUGUUGCAAGCAGCACAAAAACGCCUGUGACAAGUGUUACAAGUUUUGGAUGUAUUCCGAUCUCUGGAAAUAAAUCUAUAUCCAACGUUUCCUA